UUACUGGGCGUAAAGGGUGUGUAGCUGGUUUAGUAAGUCAGAUGUGAAAGCGUAUGGCUCAACCAUAGAAUGGCAUUUGAAACUGCCANACUGGAGUACGGUAGAGGGUGACGGAAUUCCUAGUGUAGAGGUGAAAUUCGUAGAUAUUAGGAGGAACACCGGUGGCGAAGGCGGUCACCUGGACCUGUACUGACGCUAAGACACGAAAGCGUGGGGAGCAAACAGGAUUAGAUACCCUGGUAGUCCACGCUGUAAACGAUGGAUAUUAGAUGUUGGAAGUAUUUGACCCUUUCAGUAUCAAAGCUAACGCGUUAAAUAUCCCGCCUGGGGACUACGGUCGCAAGAUUAAAACUCAAAGAAAUUGACGGGGGCCCGCACAAGCGGUGGAGCAUGUGGUUCAAUUCGAGGCAACGCGAAAAACCUUACCUGGGCUUGACAUCCCUAGACAACCCUAGAGAUAGGGCUUUCUCUUCGGAGACUAGGUGACAGGUGCUGCAUGGCUGUCGUCAGCUCGUGUCGUGAGAUGUUGGGUUAAGUCCCGCAACGAGCGCAACCCUUACCUUUAGAUGCCAUCAUUAAGUUGGGCACUCUAAAGGGACUGCCGGUGUUAAACCGGAGGAAGGUGGGGAUGACGUCAAGUCCUCAUGGCCUUUAUGUCCAGGGCCACACACGUGCUACAAUGGCUGGUACAAAGGGAGGCUAACCCGCGAGGGGGCGCUAAUCCCAAAAAGCCAGUCCCAGUUCGGAUUGGAGUCUGCAAUUCGACUCCACGAAGCUGGAAUCGCUAGUAAUCGCGGAUCAGCAUGCCGCGGUGAAUGCGUUCUCGGGCCUUGUACACACCGCCCGUCACGCCAUGGAAGUUGGUUGAACCAGAAGUCACUGGCUACUCUUCGGAGGAGCAGGUGCCUAAG
RNAcentral lists this ribosomal RNA (911 nucleotides) under uncultured organism. RNAcentral describes it as "bacterial SSU rRNA". It matches the Rfam family "Bacterial small subunit ribosomal RNA", at positions 551 to 1461 of the family's 1533-position model. The record is from RNAcentral.